Molecule: long non-coding RNA, 532 nt
Filed under: Cyanistes caeruleus (blue tit)
Lineage: Eukaryota; Metazoa; Chordata; Aves; Passeriformes; Paridae
Description: lncRNA (ENSCCEG00000011400.1)
Source: RNAcentral
AUGUGCCCCAAACAAGACCGUGGUGGUAGUUAUGUCCAGACUCCAUUACCUGAAAAGCAGCGAGGAGCAAAAGUGUCUUGUGCUAGACAGCAAAAUAGGAUGGGGGGUAAUGCAACCCUGAUAAUUUUCCUGGGAUUUGCCAUCUAUCUGAUGAGUUUGUUCCCAGCCACUUACUGCUCAGAAGUUUUUCCUCUGAAAAUCCAGAGCAUGAUUCGCACUACUGAGGAUGAACAGGAAGAGGGAAACAGUCCAACAGCAGACUGGGAGGAAAUGGAGGAGUCAUUUGUGGCCUCAUCAAUAGGGGAAGGAAUGGAGAGCUUGAAAUAAUUUCUGUCUUCAUGAAUGAUAACAAUUGGAACAUCUAGCUAUAUUUCAUGAUCACCCACUGGACAAUACAGCUUGUCUUCAUCAACCACAUCCCAGGGAACUGAAUUAGAACAUUGAAGACAAGGCAAAGGACCCUGUGCACAUAUUGAAAGUGUUUUCCUUUCCUCCUGAGAAACACAAUAAAUUCUCAUUUUUUUCUAAGCCA